GAUGAACGCUGGCUACAGGCUUAACACAUGCAAGUCGAGGGGAAACGACGGGGAAGCUUGCUUCCCCGGGCGUCGACCGGCGCACGGGUGAGUAACGCGUAACCAACCUGCCUCUGACUGAGGGAUAACCCGUCGAAAGUCGGCCUAAUACCUCAUGGCAUCGUCUGCGGGCAUCCAACGACGAUUAAAGAUUUCAUCGGCCAGGGAUGGGGAUGCGUCUGAUCAGCUUGUUGGCGGGGUAACGGCCCACCAAGGCUACGAUCAGUAGGGGUUCUGAGAGGAAGGUCCCCCACAUUGGAACUGAGACCCGGUCCAAACUCCUACGGGAGGCAGCAGUGAGGAAUAUUGGUCAGUGGGCGGGAGCCUGAACCAGCCGAGUAGCGUGCAGGAUGACGGCCCUAUGGGUUGUAAACUGCUUUUAUGCGGGGAUAAAGUGAGGGACGUGUCCUUCAUUGCAGGUACCGCAUGAAUAAGGACCGGCUAAUUCCGUG
This 491-nucleotide ribosomal RNA is filed under the name uncultured bacterium. RNAcentral describes it as "partial 16S ribosomal RNA". It matches the Rfam family "Bacterial small subunit ribosomal RNA", at positions 28 to 507 of the family's 1533-position model. The record is from RNAcentral.